RNAcentral lists this ribosomal RNA (253 nucleotides) under uncultured bacterium. RNAcentral's name for it is "partial 16S ribosomal RNA". It matches the Rfam family "Bacterial small subunit ribosomal RNA", at positions 524 to 776 of the family's 1533-position model. The record is from RNAcentral.
UACGGGGGGGGCAAGCGUUGUUCGGAAUUACUGGGCGUAAAGAGCUCGUAGGCGGUUUGUCGCGUCUGCUGUGAAAUCCCGAGGCUCAACCUCGGGCCUGCAGUGGGUACGGGCAGACUGGAGUGCGGUAGGGGAGAAUGGAAUUCCUGGUGUAGCGGUGGAAUGCGCAGAUAUCAGGAGGAACACCGAUGGCGAAGGCAGUUCUCUGGGCCGUAACUGACGCUGAGGAGCGAAAGCGUGGGGAGCGAACAGG